RNAcentral lists this ribosomal RNA (321 nucleotides) under uncultured Prevotella sp. RNAcentral's name for it is "partial 16S ribosomal RNA". The record is from RNAcentral. Lineage: Bacteria; Pseudomonadati; Bacteroidota; Bacteroidia; Bacteroidales; Prevotellaceae.
GGAGUUUGGACCGUGUCUCAGUUCCAAUGUGGGGGACCUUCCUCUCAGAACCCCUACCGAUCGGGGGCUUGGUGGGCCGUUACCCCGCCAACAACCUAAUCGGACGCAUCCCCAUCCCUUAGCGAUAAAUCUUUGGUUCACUUCAGAUGUCCUCGACGAACAACAUAGGGUAUUAAUCCGACUUUCGCCGGGCUAUGCCCUACUAAGGGGAAGGUUGGAUACGCGUUACUCACCCGUGCGCCGGUCGCCAUCGACAAUAGCAAGCUAUCGUCAUGCUGCCCCUCCGACUUGCAUGUGUUAAGCCUGUAGCUAGCGUUCAUC